RNAcentral lists this ribosomal RNA (253 nucleotides) under uncultured bacterium. RNAcentral describes it as "partial 16S ribosomal RNA". It matches the Rfam family "Bacterial small subunit ribosomal RNA", at positions 524 to 776 of the family's 1533-position model. The record is from RNAcentral.
UACGUAGGGGGCAAGCGUUGUCCGGAUUUAUUGGGCGUAAAGCGCGUGUAGGCGGCUUUGCAAGUCGGGUGUGAAAGCCCUCAGCUCAACUGAGGAAGUGCGCCCGAAACUGCAGAGCUUGAGUACCGGAGAGGAUGGUGGAAUUCCCCAAGUAGAGGUGAAAUUCGUAGAUAUGGGGAGGAACACCGGUGGCGAAGGCGACCAUCUGGACGGAUACUGACGCUGAGACGCGAAAGCGUGGGUAGCAAACAGG